UACGUAGGGAGCAAGCGUUGUCCGGAAUCAUUGGGCGUAAAGCGCGUGUAGGUGGCGGCCUAAGUACCUUGUGAAAUCCUGCGGCUCAACUGCAGAACUGCUUGGUAUACUGGGUCGCUUGAGCCAUCCAGGGGCAACUGGAACAAGCGGUGGAGCGGUGAAAUGCGUAGAUAUCGCUUGGAACGCCAAAGGUGAAAACAGGUUGCUGGGGAUGUGCUGACACUGAGACGCGAAAGCCAGGGGAGCGAACGGG
RNAcentral lists this ribosomal RNA (253 nucleotides) under uncultured bacterium. RNAcentral's name for it is "partial 16S ribosomal RNA". It matches the Rfam family "Bacterial small subunit ribosomal RNA", at positions 524 to 776 of the family's 1533-position model. The record is from RNAcentral.